UCUCUCUCUCUCUCUCUCUCUCUCUCUCUCUCUCUCUCUCUCUCUCUCUCCUCUCUCUCUCUCUCACCCCCGUCCCAACUGAACCGGAACCACAAAACCCUAGAAAACGAAUUCGAAGAGAUUUCUUUGUGGCUCGUCUCGGAGGUACAGCCUGGCGUUGACUAGUCGGAGGAUGGCGAAGAAGAUCAUGGCUACGGUGAGCCCACUCCGGUGGUUGGAGAUCGUGACGAGGAGAGAGUGUCCUCCAGAUCCACUUUGUCUCGUGGGGUUCUUGUUUCCUUUCUGUUCAGCACCUAACCUCCUCCUCCAUUUCCAAACGGCACCGAACCGUCCUCUUCUUCCUUCUCCGCGUCUGACCAGAACCCGUCUAAGAACGAAGAGGAGAGAGAGGUCGGGUGCGAGGGGUUAGGGCUCAAAGAUGGUGGAUGUUCCAGAGUUCAAGGCCUCCGUUUCAGAGACGAAUUGGAGCAACUCCGAAAGAAGUCUGGGGCCAUUGAUAAAGCACUUCUCUUCCCUUGUCAAGUGGACGAGGGCGGCAUCUGCCAAGGCACCCCAAUCAAGUAAAUAUGAAAUGGGAAUGUUGUUCAGUUUGAGAGUGGGUACUUAGUCGAGACUGUUGUGGAAGGAACUGACAUUGGAGUUGUUCCUUUCAAGAUCCGCAUUUCAGAGGAUGGCGAGCUCUUUGCUGUAGAUUCUGUUAAUAGUAACAUUGUUCGGAUUACUCCUCCGUUGUCUCAAUGUAUGCAAAAGUAUUUACUUGCAGUUGACACAUUUACUUCAAAGUAUUUACUUUCAAGGUAUCAUUUAUGAUCUUCCAAUUGACACAUUGUUUUCCAAAGUUUGUUUACUUGCUGUUUAUGCUUCUUCUACCCUUUUUCUACUUUGACUGCACUGUCAUAUUCUAGAUUGUUGUUUUUGAGCAUUGGUGAGGUUAUUUCAUUAUCAUCAAUGAGAGAUCUCACCAAAGUUCCCUUAAUUAAAAGACAAGUCACUAGUUUUGGUUCAUGAUUGAUCUUGAAGCAAAGAAAGGAUUGAGGAAUAACGCAAGGACAAGCAAAAGUUUAUUUGUUUUCCUCAAGAGUGUUCAUGCGCUCACUCUUCUCUUUCUCAAUGCAUUUAUUUCAUUGUCCCUUUGAUAUCAUCAGUAAGAGAUCUCACCAAAGUCCCCCUAUUGGUAAAACAAAUUUCUAGUUCUGGUUCUUAUCAGAUAAAACUCUCAGUUUACUAAUGCUUCACCAAUCAUUAGUAACCAUCAUCAUAAUUAUUAUUUAUGCUAUUCAUGACUAACAGUUAGAUUUUGUCUUCAGGAAAGAUAUAAUUCCAUGGUUUCCAUGGAUGGUAAUGCAGAACUUCAAAUAUUAUCAUUCAAAGCCACUAAGAUUAGGCUUUUACGUAGCCUAUGUAUUCACAUUCAAACAAUGCAGGUUGAUUCGCAGCUACACCAAGGACUGGAAAUUCAAGUUACAAGUAUUUUUAUCUUAUAACAAAUUGCUACUUGUUUCUCUUUUUCUUUUUACUGUAUCUACAAACCGUUUUUGUCUUCAUAUGGUUUAUUUAGGAGACUUCAAUCUUGUUCUUUUCUUUUGCUAUUGUAUAUGGAGAAGUUUAGGCCAUAUGUCCCCUUCUCCAUACUCUUUGUACUAUUUUUAUCAAUAAUAUUAAUUAGAAUUUUCUUUUACUUA
Molecule: RNA transcript, 1682 nt
Organism: Rosa chinensis
Lineage: Eukaryota; Viridiplantae; Streptophyta; Magnoliopsida; Rosales; Rosaceae
Exons: 4
Source: RefSeq, a predicted model, not a curated record